Long non-coding RNA from Bactrocera neohumeralis, 671 nucleotides. RefSeq lists it as uncharacterized. The record is from RefSeq and is a predicted model, not a curated record. NCBI's taxonomy places the organism in Eukaryota, Metazoa, Arthropoda, Insecta, Diptera, Tephritidae. The transcript is spliced from 4 exons.
CAGAUAUUGAUCCCAAGGAAGUUAUAUAGUAUAAAAGACAACGUAUCAACAACCUCAACCCCUUCACAAGAUAAGGAGAAUGUACCAACUCAAGAAUUAAAUACCAUUCUAAACGAAAUUCUGGAAAAGCAGAGGGAAAUAUUGGAUAAGAUACAUUCUUUAGAAUCAAAUCAACAGAUAUUAUUCGAUACAUUAGGUUCACUAAAUAAUGGACAAGUGUUGAUAACAGGGAAUCAGAAACAAAUCACGCACAAAUUGGAAACAGUGGAACAAAAAUCUAUAGAUAGAGCGGAAAUGCUAGAACAGAGUUCCCUUAUUAGGGAAUGUAAGGUGCAUUUAAAAAAAAUUGAGCGAUCGGUGUGCCUCAUGACCGGAGAGGAAAAAGACGAGGCUCUCGACCAGGUAGCAAGUCUUUUACCUAUUCAAAACUUUGAGGGAUGUUUGGAAGUGGAAGAAAUGUUAGAGAAACCUGAGUUCGCACAAUCUAUGAUCAGUUAUGUCCAUAAACUUAAAGCGACAUCGGAAAAUAUUGAAAAUUCUUUCAAAUAUAUUUAUUUAUUUAUUAGGAGUAUUAAACCUAAUUUAAAAAAAAAAAAGAGAGUACGAGCUAUUAAAGCCAUCGACUCUGAACAAACAAAUAUCUUAGGUUACUUGCUAAAUAUAAAGUUAUA